UACGUAGGGGGCGAGCGUUGUCCGGAUUUAUUGGGCGUAAAGAGCGUGUAGGCGGCCAGGUAGGUCUGCUGUGAAAACUCGAGGCUCAACCUCGAGACGUCGGUGGAAACCGUUUGGCUAGAGUCCGGAAGAGGAGAGUGGAAUUCCCGGUGUAGCGGUGAAAUGCGCAGAUAUCAGGAAGAACACCCGUGGCGAAGGCGGCUCUCUGGGACGGUACUGACGCUGAGACGCGAAAGCGUGGGGAGCGAACAGG
Molecule: ribosomal RNA, 253 nt
Filed under: uncultured bacterium
Lineage: Bacteria
Description: partial 16S ribosomal RNA
Rfam family: Bacterial small subunit ribosomal RNA
Source: RNAcentral